This 505-nucleotide ribosomal RNA is filed under the name Bacillus licheniformis. RNAcentral describes it as "bacterial SSU rRNA". It matches the Rfam family "Bacterial small subunit ribosomal RNA", at positions 1 to 485 of the family's 1533-position model. Lineage: Bacteria; Bacillati; Bacillota; Bacilli; Caryophanales; Bacillaceae. The record is from RNAcentral.
UGGAAGAGAAGUGAUCCUUGCUCAGGACGAACGCUGGCCGGCGGGGCUUAUACAUGCCAGUCGAGCGGACAAGAUGGGAGCUUGCUCCCUGAUGUUAACGGCGGACCGGGUUAGUUACACGUGGGGUACCCGCCUGUAAGACUGGGAUAACCCCGGCGAACCGGGGCUAAUACCGGAAGCUUGAUUGGACCGCAUUGGUCAAUUAUUAAAGGUGGCCUUUAGCUACCACUUACAGAUGGACCCGCGGCGCAUUAGCUAGUUGGUGAGGUAACGGCUCACCAAGGCGACGAUGCGUAGCCGACCUGAGAGGGUGAUCGGCCACACUGGGACUGAGACACGGCCCAGACUCCUCACGCGAGGCCGCAGUAGGGAAUCUUCCGCAAUGGACGAAAGUCUGACGGAGCAACGCCGCGUGAGUGAUGAAGGUUUUCGGAUCGUAAAACUCUGUUGUUAGGGAAGAACAAGUACCGUUCGAAUAGGGCGGUACCUUGACGGUUCCUAACCA